GAAAUGCGAUAAGUAAUGUGAAUUGCAGAAUUCCGUGAAUCAUCGAAUCUUUGAACGCACAUUGCGCCCUCUGGUAUUCCCGGGGGCAUGCCUGUCCGAGCGUCAUUGCGAACCCCUCAAGCACGGCUUGUGUGAUGGGCCCUCCCGCGUCUUGGUCGUCAAGACGGGCCCGAAAUGCAGUGGCGGCUUCGCGGUUAUCCGAUCAGCCAGAGCGUAUGGGGACUCUCUCUCUGUCACACGCCCGCGGCGCGGACCGACGCCUGUCGACCUUUAUUCAUCCCUUCUCGGUUGACCUCGGAUCAGGUAGGGAUACACGCUGAACUUAAGC
RNAcentral lists this unclassified non-coding RNA (328 nucleotides) under plant metagenome. RNAcentral's name for it is "partial contains 5.8S ribosomal RNA, internal transcribed spacer 2, and large subunit ribosomal RNA". The stretch from base 1 to 105 matches the Rfam family "5.8S ribosomal RNA", at positions 50 to 154 of the family's 154-position model. The record is from RNAcentral.